GGAUGCGAUCAUACCAGCACUAAAGCACCGGAUCCCAUCAGAACUCCGAAGUGAAGCGUGCUUGGGCGAGAGUAGUACUAGGAUGGGUGACCUCCUGGGAAGUUCUCGUGUUGCAUCCC
RNAcentral lists this ribosomal RNA (119 nucleotides) under Oryza sativa Indica Group (long-grained rice). Lineage: Eukaryota; Viridiplantae; Streptophyta; Magnoliopsida; Poales; Poaceae. The record is from RNAcentral.